CUUUCAGCUCUGAGAAUGUGGCA
This 23-nucleotide non-coding RNA is filed under the name Cricetulus griseus (Chinese hamster). Lineage: Eukaryota; Metazoa; Chordata; Mammalia; Rodentia; Cricetidae. The record is from RNAcentral.